Molecule: ribosomal RNA, 520 nt
Filed under: uncultured Glomus
Lineage: Eukaryota; Fungi; Glomeromycota; Glomeromycetes; Glomerales; Glomeraceae
Description: SSU rRNA
Rfam family: Eukaryotic small subunit ribosomal RNA
Source: RNAcentral
AGCAGCCGCGGUAAUUCCAGCUCCAAUAGCGUAUAUUAAAGUUGUUGCAGUUAAAAAGCUCGUAGUUGAAUUUCGGGGUUAGUAGGUUGGUCAUGCCUCUGGUAUGUACUGGUCUCACUGAUUCCUCCUUCCUGAUGAACCUUAAUGCCAUUAAUUUGGUGUUUUGGGGAAUUUGGACUGUUACUUUGAAAAAAUUAGAGUGUUUAAAGCAAGCUAACGCUUGAAUACAUUAGCAUGGAAUAAUGAAAUAGGACGUUCGAUCCUAUUUUGUUGGUUUCUAGGACUGACGUAAUGAUUAAUAGGGAUAGUUGGGGGCAUUAGUAUUCAAUUGUCAGAGGUGAAAUUCUUGGAUUUAUUGAAGACUAACUACUGCGAAAGCAUUUGCCAAGGAUGUUUUCAUUAAUCAAGAACGAAAGUUAGGGGAUCGAAGACGAUCAGAUACCGUCGUAGUCUUAACCAUAAACUAUGCCGACUAGGGAUCGGAUGAUGUUAAUUUUUUUAGUGACUCAUUUCGGCGCCU